RNAcentral lists this ribosomal RNA (36 nucleotides) under Butyriboletus fechtneri. RNAcentral's name for it is "partial 18S ribosomal RNA". The record is from RNAcentral. Lineage: Eukaryota; Fungi; Basidiomycota; Agaricomycetes; Boletales; Boletaceae.
CCGUAGGUGACCCUGCCGAAGGAUCAUUAUUGAAUU